AUAAAAAUGUGAAGGUUUUUGGAUAUGUUUAAUGAAAUGUAAAAAUGGAAAGUCUGGAAUGUUCUGUCUUUUGCAUUUUUCAUCCAUACUGCAAAAGAAAACCGCAUUCUACUGCACACAUUGAUUUCAGGACUGUAAUAGGUGGAAUACAGUCCCUAAAAUAAGUAUCGGAGUUUAAUUUUAGAUUCCAAUCUGUCCAUUUAAUUUAAAGCUCAAAUUUAACUAGAAGCAUGCAUAUCUGUCUAGUAAGGCUUGUAAACAUGACCUUUGUAAGCUGCUGCUGAAAGUAAAAAAUAGGUG
Non-coding RNA from Pelobates cultripes (western spadefoot toad), 300 nucleotides. The record is from the annotation of a GenBank genome assembly. NCBI's taxonomy places the organism in Eukaryota, Metazoa, Chordata, Amphibia, Anura, Pelobatidae.